GUGCGAUAAGUAGUGUGAAUUGCAGAAUUCCGUGAAUCAUCGAAUCUUUGAACGCAAAUUGCACUCUCUGGUAUUCCGGAGAGUAUGCCUGUUUGAGGGUCGGUUUAAAUAAUUAAUCGGUAUGUCGCCUUACUACGCGGCGUGUCGGAGUUGGGUCUUUCUUAGCCUUUUUUACGCGCUAAGUGACCUAAAAUUUAUAUUCUAACGUACUUCGGUAUGAUUACGUACUUAGUAAUUUUUGUCGUUUGAAUAUCGAAGGUAACCUAUUAGACGUGGCCAUCUUGAUGGUGUUUCGCGCCUAUAACUUUUCGAAUUUCGACCUCAAAUCAGGUAAGAGUACCCGCUGAACUUAA
Molecule: unclassified non-coding RNA, 353 nt
Filed under: uncultured Kamienskia
Lineage: Eukaryota; Fungi; Glomeromycota; Glomeromycetes; Glomerales; Glomeraceae
Description: partial contains 5.8S ribosomal RNA, internal transcribed spacer 2, and large subunit ribosomal RNA
Rfam family: 5.8S ribosomal RNA (bases 1-102)
Source: RNAcentral